Molecule: transfer RNA, 84 nt
Filed under: Naumovozyma castellii
Lineage: Eukaryota; Fungi; Ascomycota; Saccharomycetes; Saccharomycetales; Saccharomycetaceae
Also listed under: 1 other name
Description: tRNA-Leu
Rfam family: tRNA
About the family: Transfer RNA (tRNA) molecules are approximately 80 nucleotides in length. Their secondary structure includes four short double-helical elements and three loops (D, anti-codon, and T loops). Further hydrogen bonds mediate the characteristic L-shaped molecular structure. tRNAs have two regions of fundamental functional importance: the anti-codon, which is responsible for specific mRNA codon recognition, and the 3' end, to which the tRNAs corresponding amino acid is attached (by aminoacyl-tRNA synthetases). tRNAs cope with the degeneracy of the genetic code in two manners: having more than one tRNA (with a specific anti-codon) for a particular amino acid; and 'wobble' base-pairing, i.e. permitting non-standard base-pairing at the 3rd anti-codon position.
Source: RNAcentral
GGUUGUUUGGCCGAGCGGUCUAAGGCGCCUGAUUCAAGGACUCAGGUAUCGUAAGAUGCAAGAGUUCGAAUCUCUUAGCAACCA